UACGUAGGGGGCAAGCGUUGUCCGGAAUCAUUGGGCGUAAAGAGCGUGUAGGCGGCCAGAUAAGUCCGCUGUGAAAUCUCGAGGCUCAACUUCGAGCUGUCGGUGGAAACUGUCUGGCUAGAGUCCGGAAGAGGAGAAUGGAAUUCCUGGUGUAGCGGUGAAAUGCGCAGAUAUCAGGAAGAACACCCGUGGCGAAGGCGGCCUUCUGGACAGUGACUGACGCUGAGACGCGAAAGCGUGGGGAGCAAACAGG
This 253-nucleotide ribosomal RNA is filed under the name uncultured bacterium. RNAcentral describes it as "partial 16S ribosomal RNA". It matches the Rfam family "Bacterial small subunit ribosomal RNA", at positions 524 to 776 of the family's 1533-position model. The record is from RNAcentral.